CUCUUUCUCUCCUGUGACCAUGUGAAGAAGCUGCUUGCCUCCGCUUCACCUUCCACCAUGAUUAAAAGUGACAACUUAAAAACUUUCUUUAAACAUAUCACUCUGACACCAAUGUGUAAGAUGAAGUGGACAGGAAUGGAACUGUACUGGGAGGCUCUGACAGUUCGGGUGAGAAGAAAUGAAGGGUAAAUAUCUGAGUGGAAUGACUGGAUCAUAUGGCCGUUGAAUUCAUCCCCAUGCAAGCUAACCAUGGACUUGUCAUUGUUAGAGGUCAGAGGAAGCAGCCUCUGGCGGUGUGGAGCCUUCAUGUGACUGCUGUGUUGUCGUCAGUGUGUGUAGU
This 340-nucleotide long non-coding RNA is filed under the name Homo sapiens (human). RNAcentral describes it as "non-protein coding lnc-CCDC125-6:14". Lineage: Eukaryota; Metazoa; Chordata; Mammalia; Primates; Hominidae. The record is from RNAcentral.